RNAcentral lists this transfer RNA (99 nucleotides) under Caudoviricetes sp. RNAcentral describes it as "tRNA-OTHER". It matches the Rfam family "tRNA". From Rfam's summary of the family: Transfer RNA (tRNA) molecules are approximately 80 nucleotides in length. Their secondary structure includes four short double-helical elements and three loops (D, anti-codon, and T loops). The record is from RNAcentral. Lineage: Duplodnaviria; Heunggongvirae; Uroviricota; Caudoviricetes.
GCUGUGUUGGUCAAGAGGUCAAGACACUGGCGGAGACAGUAUGGUGUAAACAUGAAAAGCACACUACCAGGGGCAUAGGUUCAAAUCCUGUACAUGGCA